AAAGAAUUUACGCCGCGGGAGAAAUCUUGGGCACGUGGUUGUGUUUGCACCAGGUUGUCCGUGGUUCUGACGGCCCUGCACGUAUGCAGUUUGCCCUGAGAGAGAAACCUGAGAGUUUUUGGCGAUAAAAGUCAGGAAUUAGUUGUGAAUGUGCGUGCUACUCUUUUGGACAACUUAAGUGAAGGGAAGGAGUAGGAGUGGUAGUGUAUGGGUCCCACUGAAUACUACGGCUCUUGGAACAAGAACAGAAUUGGGGGCCAGGGGUGGUGGCGCACGCCUUUAAUCCCAGAACUCUGGAUGGAGGCAGAGGCAGGCGGAUCUCUGUGAGUUCAAGGUAUCAGAGAUCAGGAAAGCCACAGGCCAAAUGCAGCAUUCCGGGUGUUUGUACCUGUGGUCAUAAGUGAUUGUUAUAGUAGAAAGCAUUGGAGGAAAAUCUACACAUCCAUACUUCAUAUUUACUUUAUAUAUAAUUCAUAUUUCCCUUUAUAGAAAAAAUUACAGACUAUAUGGAGUAAUCAAUCCAAAGUGUAUCUUCCAUUUAACUGUUUUCUUAUCAGUACAUUGAUAUCUGGGUUUAUAAAUUAGUCUGCCCUAAAACCCCAGAUCCAGUACCUCAUGACCUCAGAGAGGCUAAGGAGGAAGCAACUACUGGGGCUUUACCCCUCUGUUUCUGCAUGGCAUUUGAAUAAGUACCACUGGGUUUAGGUUAUGAAACAUUCACUUCCCAGUGAUUUGAACUGGGCAGCCUUCAUAGAAAAGGGGGCAAUUAAACUUUAGCUUGUCAGUGUAUAUCAGCAUGCCAGUGUGGAUAAAAUUAAAAAAAAAAAAAUCAGUGCCUUGGUGGGAAAAUUGGGGUGUUGUUUUGGAUAAGCUGUCUAACCUUACUGGGCUUGGGUCCAUAACACGAAGAAAAUAGACAACCCCUGAGAAGUCUACGAGUUCCAUCCUAAAUUAUGAAUGUCACACAAAGAAGUGUGAACAUGACUAUUAGAGUUGAAGGGCGUGAUGGAAUUAUUGUUUGGGGGAAGCUGAGUCCAUCGAUGUUACAGUUCAGAGCAGAUAACAGGUUUGAGCAGAGCUUCCUAUGUGCAUAGUGGUUCUCUUAGCCUUUGGAGCCAGCAGAGUCUCUUGUCCAGUUGCCACUGGCUGAAAUAGCCUUUCCUCAGUCUUCAGUUUACUGUAGUACAAAAGUCAAGAUUUCCUAUUGAUGCCACCACGAGAAGAGAUUGCGCAAGUCACAAAGACCCCCUAAGCCCAAUG
RNAcentral lists this long non-coding RNA (1260 nucleotides) under Cricetulus griseus (Chinese hamster). RNAcentral describes it as "lncRNA (ENSCGRG00015033782.1)". The record is from RNAcentral. Lineage: Eukaryota; Metazoa; Chordata; Mammalia; Rodentia; Cricetidae.